Molecule: long non-coding RNA, 16163 nt
Filed under: Populus tremula
Lineage: Eukaryota; Viridiplantae; Streptophyta; Magnoliopsida; Malpighiales; Salicaceae
Description: long non-coding RNA (PTRE_LNC002431)
Source: RNAcentral
CUGAUAAACCUAAAAUUGCUGUUGUGAAAAGAGCAUUGCCACAGUAUCCGGCUGGCAAUGGUGGGUUCAAUCUAGAUCGCCCAUCUGUUGGAAUGUGUAGUUUUGUUGCUUGGUCGUUCGAGAUUCCACGUGCCUUGCAGGUGCAUUGCCAAAUAUGUGCUGCUAGGGUUUCAAAGGUGCUGUGGUUGAUAGUGCCAUCACCAACGUCUUUUCUAGACUUGUUUUUUAGGGUUUGGAGUUGAUCAAAUGUGAUGGUUAGGAUUUUUGCACAAGUGGGUUUCGGAUUUGAUUGGAUUUCUAGGGUUUGGUCACCGGAGUUAUGGGUGUUCAAGGUAGGAGGGGGGUCGUAUUCUACGUGGUGCAUAGCGGGGAUAGGCGGAGCUCGAGCGUCAAGCAAGGUACGGUCAAUGAACGGUGGGGUGGUAAGAGACAGUCCUCUCGCUAUUUCAGACCACGAGUUGAUAAAAUGGAUUGCAGAAGUUCCAUCUCCCAAGAUAUGGUGUAAGCCAACUCCAAGACAUACUCCUCCACAUUUGAAGAAGGUUGCCUGUUAGCAACAUACACAGCACGUCAAUCAUAAACAAAAAACAUAUUUUUCAAACUCAAUAUAAAUAAAUAGAAAAACUAGUUUUUUUCAUUUUCAAUAUAGAAAAAAUUCUCUUCCUCCGAGUAGCCUAUAAAACUACUGUCUAAAUACAAAAAAAAAUGCUAAUAAAUAAAAUUCUAAAUAAAAAGGAAUAAAAAAAACAAGAUAAAUAAAGAAGAUCUUGAGUAUAACUUCUUAGCUGAAUUUAGAUAUGCGUUCUGACUCAACUGAAUAAUUAAUUUGUCUUCUAAUACUUAAAGCUGGUAACAGGUUCUUUGCAUCUCACUUGAUAUAUUCUAUAAUUAAUCCUUAAACAUCCUUCCCAUGUUAUGAGUACUUUGCCUUGGAUUGGUUAAAAACCCUAUAGAACACAAAUAAUUUCAAUACUUCUGAACAAAAUCCAAAGAAAUCAUAAAACUCACCUGUGCGAGUAGUAGAGGAUAGGAAAAUAUGCUUGAACGAUCGACUUCUGGAAUGAACUGCAGCAUCUCAGAGCGGGGAGUAAAAUCCCCCAGUUCAUCAAUGGUGGAGCUUGUUUCAGCCUCGACAAAUAGAACUCCUCUGGCAUUACACAAUAUCGACAUCCUACCAUUUUCAUCCUUCUCUAACCUCCCUGCCAUAUGGUGGAAUGGCACAAGAGCCUUGCUCAGAGCCUCCUUGAGCACUUGAGGGUCAAAAAAAGUGGAAGAACCAUUGACCGGCUUGUAGAAGUAUACUGUUGGGAUGUGUACCAUUGGCACCAAGAGGUCCAGAUUUGAGCUCCAUAGGCUUUUUUCCGGCGUGUCUUCGGCAGGUCGCACGACAGUUGACGCUUUUAUUCGAAUUUCAACUCUUACCAUCUGCAUAUUUGCAACAAAAUCAUGUUAAAGUCCUGUCUGUUCAUAUAUGCUGUUUAAAUUGUUGAAAAUCAACUCCAGGUUUGCUUAGCUUAGUAAAUUGCAGUAUAUGUUAAACAUUAAUGAAGCAGAAUUAAAUAUUAAACUCAUACUUUAUUCGCCUGGCUAGAAUUUUCUUCUUAGAAGAACAAAACAAGAUAGAGAGGGGGGGGGGGGUGUUGUACGCAGAUGAGGACGACCACUCGUAUUUAUAGAAGAAAAAAAAGAAAGGAAGGAAGAAACGAGGGAGUGAAGGCAGCCUUGAAGCUUCAAAUUAAAAACCAUUUGGGCUCGCGGCAGUUCAACCGUGUUUUUCUAAUUUAUUUUUUUAUAUUUUAAAAAUAUUUUGAUAUAAUAAUAUAAAAAAUUAUUAUUUUAUAAUUAAUAUUGUUGUCUCAAGAAUAGUGUUAUUUUUUAAUAUAUAUUAUCUCGUUGAUUCAGGAUAUCCAAAAAAAUACUAUUACUUAGAUCCAUAUAAAAAGAAUAAGAGAUAUUAUCUUUCAGAAUUUCAUCGACGACGAUAACCACAAAGUCGAGAGGAAAUAUUCAACCAUAUCCAUUUAUCAUUACGAUGAGUAAUAGAACGUAUAUUUGAAGUUUGGAAGAAAAGGUGGAGAAUCUUGCAAAACAUACUUGAGUUUCCUUACAAAACACAAGUUAAAAUUGGUAUUGCAUCAAUGGCACUGCAUAGCUACAUUCGAAGGAAGUCGAGCCAAGAUGUUGCAUUUAACGAGUUUGAUAUUCAUUUUGAUUUUGUUCCUCCUGAUACUUUAACCGAUAUGGUUCCACAAUCACAACCACGUGGGCACCAGAAAGCUUUGUGUAUGAAUUAUGUUUUGUGAUGGCAUUGCAAAUAGUUUGAUGGGACAAUAAUAUUUAUUUUUUAAUGUAAAAAAAUGAUUUUAUUUUUCUGCUAGUUUUUGUUUGGAUUAAAUAUUUUGUUUCCUCUUAAAACAAAGAAUAAAUUCAUUUAUUUUCUUUUUAGUCAUUUUAUAUACAACAUUAUCCGCAACUAUAAUUUUAACCAAACAUAUCAUGUCAUGAUUUUUGGCAAAAUAAAAUCAAAUCAUAAUUUUAACCAAACACAUAUUAUAUACGCACCAACCACACAAAAAAAUAAUUUUUUCAAAAUUACUUUUUAUAAAUCAUAACUAUCACAAUUACCACAAAAACAAAAAUAUAUAUCCAUUGAGAUGUUAUACUGUGUACGAUAAAAGUACAAUUUGCGGUCGCUAUUUUUUUUAUCUUUUGAUUCUUAGAUUUAAAAAUUACAUUGACAAUCAACAUUUACAUUGACAAAGUAAAAAAAUCAAAUUAGUAAUUAACAAUAACCAUAACAAUUAUUUGUCAAAUAGUUGCAAUAAUAAAUAGACAAUUACUUAAAGUGCCGCUAAAUAGGAUAUUCGGCCUUAAAAAUAUAGUUAUUUUUGAAAGUGUAUUUUUUAAUAUUUAAAUAAUAUUUUUUUUUUUUUUAAUAUAAACAUAUUAAAAUAAUCUUUAAAAAAUAAGGCAGAUUCCUUGUCAGAAAGAAAUUAAUGUAGGGGGAUUAUUGUGGGACCUCAGUACGAGAUUUCGUGUCUUACGUGUCUACCAUUUACCCACUAAGGCAGAUUCCUUGUCAGAAAGGACAGAUGCAACUGUGCUAGACUGCUAGCAUCUACGACAUGCAAUGAGCUGCCUGCCACCUGUCUCUGGCAGUUCUGUCUUUUUCUUUCUCUGUACUGCCAACGCUAAUUAUUGGACAUUUUUACUGCCUUUGAUUGUCCUCCUCCUUCCUUGAUGCCCCCCCAGUCCCACCUCCUAUUUCCGUUUUUCACAAUUAUAAUGGUAUUUUUUUAUUUCGGGAUAUUCGGUAAUAUUAAUAAUUCAAAAUAUUAGUUUAAAAAAUAUAAUAUUAAUUCAAACACAAAUAUAAACAAACUUAAAUUUAUACAAUUCAAAUCUCAAAUACAAAUAAAAAAAUAUAAGUUAAAUCAAUUUAUUUUUUAAAUCUUAAAUAUAAACUUGAAAAAUAUAAUUGAACGGAAUAAAAUUACGAUUUGAAAAAGUAUAUGGCUACAUGUUAACAAAAAGAUAUCUUGUUUUACCAGUGAAGUGGAUUGCGCAAGUGGACUGCUGGAACAUGUCAAUAUAUAUAUAGUAUGUUUUUAAGAACAUAUAUGUAAUAUCGGUUGAGAUCAAGUUAAAUAAAAAAUAUAUUUAAUAGUUGAAUAAAAAAGACAAUUCUAAUCUGUUAAAUUAUUUUUUUAUUAAAAAUCAUUUUCAAAUGUUUUUUAUUUUAAUAUAUUAUAUUUUAAAAUAAUGAAAAGAAUUUCUUUUAUUGAAUUGGGAUAUUUGAAAGAAUAAUAAUAAUUGCUUUUUAACAUGUUUUUUUUAAUAUAUUAAAAUAAUAUUUUUUUUUAAAAAAAUUAUUUUUUAUAUAAACACAUCAAAACCAUUUAUAAAUAAAAAAAAUAAUUUAAAAAAAAAAAAAAACAAAAAACCAAACUUUCCUACUGAAAAAACACUUCCCAUGAGGAAGCUUGUGAAAUUGGUCUCCAGAUGCAUGCCUGCUACAUUACGGCAGCCGUGUGAACUCCACGGAUGAGGUUGAAUGUUCGUGGGCCCCUCCCUUACGUUGGCCCGGGCUAGCUGUGUGUAAUUAAUGUUUAUUGUUUUAUAUAUUAUAUCGCUAUCAGUAAUAAAUUUAAAAAAGCAUUUUAAUAUAUUUCUAUAAAAAAAACAAUUAUUAUCACCCUUUUAAAUACUUCAUUAAAAUAAUUUAAUAUAUAUUUAUUAAACAACGGAUUUACCGCCCGAGUCAAAAUGAUGAUUUAAUUCGACCGGCACCCUCAUUCCCCCAUUAAAAGCCCCUAGCAAGCUUGCUUAGCCUAACCAGAGGCCGCCUACCAGAGUCCUUCCUUCCAGAUAAUCAUAAAACAUUCAACAGAGAUUUUGUGCUAGGAAAAACUCCCAGAAAGUAAGCUAGGGACUUCUCUUAAUGAUAUGCUAUCAGUGAAAUUUUGGGAUCUCGGAUCCGCUUUAACUCAGUAGAAAGCAGCUCAUGAAGUAUUGCUUCAAAUAUCAUACAUAGGUAAGUUAACUUCACUGUCAAACUUAGGAGAGAUGGAUUGCAGAUCAUAUGCGAUUCAUGCUGUGAAUAUUAUAACAAAAUGAUACUAUACUAGUUUAAAGGAUUUCAUAGUCAUAUAUAUACACCCUGAAAUGCCACCAGCUGUGGAUUUCGGAUUCCUUUGUAAGGCUCCAAGGCGCAGGCAUCACUCAUGCGAAGCUGGCAACAAUGGCAGCAGAGCUGUCCUACUGUUCAAGCUUCAAGGUAGCAUAUUUGGAUAACAGCUCCUGCAUGAAAUUGGUUAACUGAUGUUUAGAGAAAAUUUCAAUUAUCUUAGUUAUCAUGAACUUAGCAUUUGAAGAGUACCUGAUCUUCAGCUUCCAUCCCCUCGGCGUUUUGCUUCUGAGCCCACUUCUUUGCAUUUCUUUCCAGCAAAACAUAUUUCAUCACCUGCAACAAAAACCAAAUCAGUGUAGGAUCAAAACAGUUUACCGAACUCCUGAGAAGCGUUUUCCCUUUGCCAUCCUAUGUGCAAUUCAUGAUGUUACGAGACUGAGACUGUACAUCCAGUAAUUUUGUUUUGGUGGUCUGGGAUAGGUAGAACUCUGCUCUAGCUUCCUCCUGGUUCAAGCACCGAUCAACCUGAGAAAAUAGAAAGAGAACGAAUUAUAGGUUGUUACAUAAACAUAGAAUUGACUUCUUUGGGAUGCCAAAGUUUCGAGCAUUACUGACCUUCCGCAGGUAAUUGGAGAAGGAAUCACCCCAAAACCACCACUCCAAAGAUAGCUGAGAGUAGUAAGCAGCAGCUUCUGCUAGCAUUAUCUGCUCCAAUUUUUCAUAAUAGUUGGUGGUUCCAUUCCCUCCAACCUCUAAAAAGAAAUCAAGUACCCUCUUUAGUAGGUUCCGAUCAAUCUGCCCCCCUUCACGCUCUUGAAUGAUCUGCCCGUAAAGUCAUAUGCAGGGUUAAACCAACCUCAGAAAGAAGACAACCCAUUAUGAAACAACCAGUGAAUGCUAACUGACCAGCCUCAUCAUUGCUUCCUGCAAUUUACUGAAUAGCUCAUCACAGACCUGAAAAUAAGAUUGGAUAUGAUGCUCAGCCAAAUUGUGUAAGAGAACAGAAGCAAGAAUAAGAACUAAACUACUUCAUGUAGUUACUUACCAAAUUGCAGAAGUAAUAUCUCAUGGAGUCAGCAGGUGAUGGAUGUCUUUUCCUACGGAUGUAGAAAUUAUCCAGGUCUGCAAAGGUUUCUGACAAUUCCUUAUACUCCAGCCAUAAUCGCGUGAUUUCUGUUAAAAGCUCUGUACCAUGUUUGUCCAUUAACACUGGAAGUACCUGAAAGAGCAUGCAAGGAUGGAAAACAACGGGAUGUGUUCAUUAUUAUAUUCAUUGCACUUUGACAAAGAUGAAAGCAAAAGAAAUUGAAACCCUUCUCAACUGCCACGUCUCAUUUCUCCACUUGUGUAAAUUACAAAGACCACCAAUCCAGACUAAGCUAGAUAGCGAGAGAAAACAAAAUUGGGCAUGCAUAAUCAUGAGUAAAGCAUCUUGCAAAAUUAUCCUAUGAAAUAAGUUAUAAACAAGAGAGCAUGUCAUAGUAAGAGUUUCUCAUACUUUGACAUUCUUAGCCAACACAUUUAAGAUACAUGAGAGCCAAUUCUACCAGAGAAAUUAUGCAGAAGCGAAGAAACUGGAAGAAUUAUUGAUUAUAUAUGGUAGAAAUCUCACCCUUUCUUGAAUUAUCUCACUUAAACAGUUCGUAUACUUCUCAUAAACCAGGCUGCAAGAGUCCCCACGCUUCCUUGUGCACAAAUUGUAUACACACCUAUCACAAGUGUUAAGGAUAUGCCAAUUCUCGGCAACUAAAAUCACAUUCAGGAAUAUUGAUUUAUCUCGUCGAGUAGAAAAAAAAUUAACAUAUCAAACUUCGACAUGUAAGUAAACCAUAUUGCAGGAUACUCAUAAGCAAUCAUUUUUUCCGCAGGUGUAAAUGGAAUCACAGGGUGUCCAUCCAUAAUCAUCUUCUUCUUCGUAAUUAUAUCAUCUAUCUUCUUUAGCUUCUCAUUCAACAUCAUGUCAGCAUCCAUCUUCAUUUAGCUGCAGUCGAAAACAUUUAAAAUUGUAAUGAUCGCAGUUCAAAAUCAAAGAAAGAGAUAGCAUGCAUAUCUGUAUUGCACACUCAUCCGACUAUUUCUCAUUUUCCUUUUAAAAAUAGAAUUUCUAAAGUCUACAAUAGCAUCCAAAACCCUUUGAACAGACUAGAAAGUUUCUGGCGUUGACAAUUAAACUUUAUACCAAACAAACUACAUCCAAGGUCCUGUUCUAUAGGGAAGUGAAGAAAAAAGUGGGGUUUGCAUUAUACUUAUAGGGAAAGCAGCUUGCAGGGGAAGUUGAAGGGAAAGGUGGGGCUUGCAUAUACUUGUAAGGAGAAGCCACCUUGCAGUGAAAGUUGAUAGGACAUAGGUCCAUAGACCAUACGCUGUUGUUUAUUAUGUAAUAAUUGUUGUAUUUUUUAAAAAUAUUUUUAUUCAAAAAUAUAUUAAAAUAAUAUUUUUUAAAUUUUUAAUAUUAUUAUAUUAAAAUUAUAUUAAAAAAAAACAUGUUAAUUUGAUAUUUUUUUCAUAUACAAAAUAAUUUUAAAAAUAAUUUGAAUUAAUUUAAAUAAAAUUCAAUAAAGCAUAAAUAAUGAUAGCCAUAGUUGUAAAAAACUACUUAAAUGAAUUCAUUUGAUUCAAGAUUCAGAUCGAGAAUUAAGUGGUUUAAUAUGUAAAUUAAUUUAUAAAUUAUAAUUUAAAAAAUAAAAAUAUAAAAUGAUGUUAUUUUAAAUAUUUUUCUAAACAAUGUUAUUUUGGUUAUAUAUAAAAAAAACAAUUCAAAUAAAACUUGAUGUAAACCACAUUUUGGGUCAAUGAAUUACUAGAUUGGCAAGUCAGACAAAGUCAAUUUUUAUAAUUAUGAUAGUAAAGGCUAAGUUGCUUAGUGAAAAAUGGCACUAAAAUAUAAUAUGUGUUUAGAAAUGUGGUAAUUUUUAUUUUUAUGUGUGUUUUAAAAGUGUAUUUUAUUUGAAAAGAAAGACAAAUAGUAAAUUGAUAUUAUUUUAGUGUUUUUUUUUAUAAUUUUAAUGUGUUGAUAUCAAAAAUAAAUAAAUAAAUCUAAAAAAAAAUAUUUGAUGUAUUUUCAAGCAAAAACUAUUUUAAAAAAAAUAUUUUACAUCACAAUACCAAACAUAUAUUAUUCAAAUUGAGGACUAAGUGGUUUAAACCGUAGAUUAAUUUAUAAAUUAUGAUUUAAAAAAUAAAAAUAUGAAAUGAUGUUGUUUUAAAUAUUUUUCUAAACAAUGUUAUUUUAAUUAUAUAUAUAUAUAUAAAUUUAGUAAAACUUGAUGUAAACCAUAUCUUGGGUUAAUAAAUUACUAGAUUGACAAAUCAAGCAAAAUCAAGUUUUAUAACUAUGGUUGUAAAUGCUAAGUUGUUUGGUGAAAAGUGGUACUAAAAUAUUAUGAGUAUUUGAAAGUGUUUUAUCUUUUAUUUUUAUAUGUGUUUUAAAAGUGCAUCUCAUUUGAAAAAAAUAUUAAAUUAAUGUGUUUUUUGCUUUUUUAUAAUUUUAAUGUCUUGAUGUUAGAAAUAAAUAAAAAAUCUAAAAAAACUUAUUUAAUGCAUUUUGAAGUAAAAUUAUUUUUUAAAAAUACUUUAUAUCAUAGUACCAUACAUAUUUGUAAUGAAUACUACAAACAACUUCCUCUCUGUAUCUUUGACUUGAAGUUGAAAUAUUUAAAUGACAUAUUAUACUAUAACUUAAAAUGCGUGAAUUUUUUUACUAUAGAGGCAAUUAUUGUUUAUGCACACGCAAAUCACUAUGAAUAGAAUUGUUCUGCACUAUGCAUUUGUUAAAAUUUUAUUUUGGUCCUUAAAGUUUUUUUCUUGAUGAUUUAAUUCUAAUUAAAGGCCAAUUGAUUGUAAUUUUUUAGGAAAAGGUGGGGUUGAAAGAAGAGGGACUAUAAUGAAAAAGGUGUCAAACAUGGAUGGCAUGCCAUAAGUUUCAACAAAAAAUACACUUUGAUCCUCAAACUUUAAAAAUAACAUAAAUUAUACAAUUUCAGUACCUCAAUAUUUUUCAAGUUUAAGUUUUGUACAAAAACUUAUUUUUAUUAUUUUUUAGUUCCUGACUAGACAGAUGAGAGAAAAAGGUCGUCGAAUUACAGAAGUAGUAAAAGAAAAAUAUCGUUGAUACCGAUUUAGGUCAUCAAAACAGUCAAUAUUUGUGUCAAAUGGUUCCAAUUGAUGAUGAGAAUUUAUAUUAAGUAUUUUUUUGCCCUAAAAGUCUUUGAAAAUACAUAUACAAGCUCAAUUUGAAUUUUGGUUUCUGGUUUAUUUUAGUUUUUGGGGUGGUUUUUUUUUUCCCCAAGAUAAGUUUAUCAUAGUUUUAAUGUUUUCUAGGUUUAUAUUCAAGCCACCUGCCCUAAAUGAAGCAAAAAAAUAAAAAUAAAGACCCAAUCGACCAAUCCUUCUAGGGCAAGUCUAGGCACGAGCCUUGAAGAAAUGGGCUAGUCAGGUUAGUCAGGCCCAACAACAUCUAGUUUUUUUCUGUUUUUUAAUUAAUGCUUUUUACUUUAUUUGUAUUUAGAUUAAUAUCUCUUCUCUAUUUUAUUUUGUUUAAAAAACCUCUUUUAAAUUAGUUAAAAAAAACAGGUGUUUUGAAAGAAAAAAAAGUUUGAAGCCCAAUUUUCCAAUCAUCAGAAUAUUUUUUUUCAAGUCACCCUACCCCAAAUGCAGCAAAAACAAUAAAGGCCCAGUCUCUCCAUUUUUCAGCACAAGUCCAGGCACGAGCCUUGAAAAAAUAAGCCGAACAAGCUAGCUUGAUACAAAAGCGUCUGGUUUUUUUUGUUUUUUUAAUUAAUAUUUUUUUAUUUUAAUAUUUUUUAUUUUAUUUGUAUUUAGAUUAAUAAUUCUUCUCUUUUUUAUUUUGUUUUGAAAGCUUCUUUUAAAUAACAAUUAUUUUUUAGUUAUAUAUAUAAUUUUUGAAAAAAAAUUUCUUAUUCAUCUAUAAUCUUUUAUAAUUUUUUUUAAUAUUUUGUAUAUAUGAACUUUGUUUUGAAGAGGGGAAAAAAUUUAUUUGCAGAUAAUAUAUUGCAUAAUAUUUUUUUAUUUAAAUAAUUAAUGUGUAUUUAUUUAUAUUAUCAUUUAAUUGAAUAAAAAACCAUUUAACUACUUAGAAAAUUUUUAUAUAAACAAGUUUAACCAUUUUUAUAUAACAUUCUACAGAAAAGUUUGUGCUGGGAAGACCCCCGGCAUGUAAUCUAGGGAGAUUUGUCUUAACCAUAUCCUCUCAGUAAAGUUUUGGGAUCUAAGAUCCCUGCCACAUUAACAUCAGAGUGUUUAGAUUUGUGGUUUAGCGUAUUUUUUAAAGUAAUAUUAUUUAAAAAUGUAUUAAAAUAAUAUUUUUAAAAUUUUUUAACAAACAUAUAAAAAAAACUAAAAAGUAUUAUUUUAAAAAAUAAAAAUACGGUUCAACUUUAUCUCCGCGGCACACCACAAAUACAAACACAAAUUACUCGGUAGAAUGCAAGUAGAGAAGUUAUAUAGACAAGUUAAACCAUUUAACUGACUUCAUUGUCACACUCAGGAGAGUUGGGUUGCAGAUCAUACGCAAUUCAUGCUGCUGAAUAUUAUAACAGAACGAUAGUAUACUAGUUUAAAGGAUUUCAUAUUCGUAUUUAAUUAUUUAAUUAUUUUAUUUUAUUUGUGGGGUGUACCUAAAAAUGAGUUACAACAUAGUGCAUAGCGGGGAUAGGCGGAGCUUGAGCGUCAAGCAAGGUACGAUCAAUGAACAGUGGGCUGGUAAGAGAUAGUCCUCUUGCUAUUUCGGACCACGAGUUCAUAAAAUGGAUUGCAGAAGUUCCAUCUCCCAAGAUAUGGUGUAAGCCAACUCCAAGACAUACUCCUCCACAUUUAAAGAAGGUUGCCUAUUAGUCGUGGCGGAGCCAGAGUAUUUAAAAUGAGAGUACAUAUUAAUAAACAAAUAAUGAUAUUCAUAAUAUUGAAGUGUGCUUCCUUCUAGAAACUAAAAUUAAGAUUUGCACAGAUUCUCUUAUUUUUCGUGUUUGGAAUAAUAGCAAUAUUAAUUGGGCUUGUAACGAGGCUGAAGGUAGUAGAGGGGGUAUGAUUGCUCUUUGGGAUGAUACUAAAUUUCAGGUUUCAUCAGUUGAAUAUGGUUACGGGUGGAUUGGUCUAUACGGUCAGCAUAUGCAAAGUGGUUUUAUCUGUGCUAUUGUUGGUGUUUAUGCCCCUUGUUCUAUGUCAGAAAAAAAGGGAUCUUUGGAAGAACUUGUGUAUCCUUAGACAUGCCUUCCCUAUUCCGUGGUUGAUGGUGGGAGAUUUUAAUGAGACUUUGAAUCAGAUUGAUAGAAGCAGUGGCUAUCUUCAUAUCAAGGGCUCUUCAGCUUUUAGGAAUUUUCUGGAUUCUUGUCACCUUAUUGAGUAUCAACUGGCUGGAGGUUACUUCACUUGGUUCAGGAAUUGCUUGAUGAGCAAACUAGACCGUGCUUUCUCAGAUGAAUCCUUUCUUCUACAAUUCUCAAAUGUAAUGCUCCAUCGAUUACCCAGAGAAAUGUCAGACCAUUGCCCCUUGCUUGUUUCUGAUUCCCUCCUAGAGAGCGGUUAUCGGCCUUUUAAAUUUUUGGACUGUUGGCUUCAAUUUCCUAACUUCAAAAAUAUUAUUAGAGGCUUUUGGUUUGAUGGGUGUACAACAUUCCCAGGACGUUUCAGAUUUAUUAAGAAGCUUAGCUUUGUAGCAGCUCAACUUCGGCGAUGGAACAAAGAUGAUUUUGGUGAUCAGGAGUACAAGCUUCAGGUUGUGAUUUCCCAAAUUGAUGAUCUAGAGAGAAAACAGGAGGCUGAUCCUCUAUGUCCCUCAGAUCACCUCAAGCUUGAAUCUCUUAUAAAGGAUAAAUGGACCUACAGUAAUAGAGUUGAAUGCAAGUGGAGGCAGAGAUCUAGACAGUUGUGGUGCAAGCUAGGGGAUCGUAAUACCAGGUUUUUCCAUUUGAUAGCUAACUUCAGAAGAGCUAAAUCUCAUAUUAUGAUGAUCAAUCAUAAGGGGGCUGAACUCCGGUCAUUACCAGAAAUCAAAUCUGCUGCUGAUUAUUUUUUAAUCUGUAUAGAGCUCCAAUUGGGAAGAAAGCAGAGAUGGGUCAAAAAGGUUAAAUUCAAAGUUGUCUCUUUGGCUAGAGCGAGAUGUGACAUUGGAUGAAAUUAAAAGAUGUGUGUGGGAUUGUGAUGGUUCUAAGAGUCCUGGUCCAGACGGUUUCAAUUUUAAAUUCUAUAAGCUCGCUUGGGAUUUUAUUGCAGAAGACUUAUUGGACCUGAUCACUGAAUUUUUUAGAACAGGGUCUAUGCCGAAAGGGGUUAACCUCUCCUAUAUCACUUUGGUGCCGAAAAGAAAGGUUACUAUGGAAUUCAAAGAGUAUCGCCCCAUUAGUUUGAUCCAUGGUAUUUACAAGAUUAUUGCGAAGAUUUUGUCCAGCAGAUUAAAGGAAGUAAUAGGCAGCUUGAUUAGUGACAAUCAGACUGCUUUUAUAGCAGACAGACAAAUUGUUGAUGGUUUUAUGGUAGCUAAUGAAGUGGUUUAUGAUCUAAAAAGAAGUCGAAGAUCGGGUCUCAUCUUCAAGGUUGAUUUCCAAAAAGCUUUUGAUUCAGUUCUAUGGGAUUACAUUGAUGAGGUGAUGACUUACAUGGGUUUUGGUGCUAAAUGGAGAGGGUGGAUUUCCUCUUGCUUGUCUACUAGUCAGGUUUCAGUCUUAGUCAAUGGCUCUCCUUCCCCAGAGUUCAAAGUGGGGCGAGGUAUUAGGCAAGGUGAUCCCCUAUCUCCCUUUCUUUUUAAUAUUGCUGCUGAAGGUCUAUCUGUUCUCUUCCAACGUGCGGCAUCCUCAGACAUCUUUCAGGGUAUUGAUUUUGGCUCCAAUAACUUCUUAAGUCACCUUCAAUAUGCAGAUGACACUCUUGUCUUUAUGCCAGCUAGUUUGCAUGCCCUCCAGUCAGUUAAAAGAGUCUUAAGGUGGUUUGCUCUAUGCUCAGGCUUGCACAUUAAUUUUUUUAAGAGUUCUCUUAUAGGAAUCAAUGUUGAUGACUCCUGCUUGGAUGAGUUUGCAAAAUCAGUUUACUGCAGGCAUGAUUCUCUUCCAUGUAAUUACCUGGGAAUGCCUUUGGGGUCUAACCCUAGAAGGAUUUCAACAUGGAAACCCGUCAUUGAUAAGUUUCGAAAGAAACUCACUUCGUGGAAAGGGAGAAUGUUAAGCAUGGCCGGUUGCAUUUGCCUUAUCAAAAGUGUGUUGAACUCCCUUCCUUUGUACUUCAUGUCCAUCUUCCUUAUGCCAAAAGGUGUGUGUCGCUUACUUACUUCCAUCCAACGCAAAUUCUUAUGGUCGGGAACUGUCAAAAUGAGAAAAAUUUGCAAAGUCCAAUGGAGCGUGGUUGUUAGAGAUAAAGAUAGGGGUGGCCUUGGGAUUAGGUCAUUGAUAGCCAAGAAUAAAGCAAUGAUUUUCAAGUGGAUUUAGAGGCUCUCUCUUCCUGGUAAUGAGCUGUGGAAGAAGAUGAUAUUCAACAAAUUCAAGCCGGUGUUUGAAAAUGAUUUCCCUAUUUUUAGUAGAAGAUUGUCUUGUAUCUGGAGGGAUAUAACAUCCCUUAUGACCACAACAGACUCUGUCUCUUCAGCUUUAGCCAAUAAUUGCAGAUUUGUAGUGGGAAAUGGCUCUCUGACUCGAUUCUGGUAUGAUGUUUGGUUUGAUAGCUCUCCAUUGAAAGUCAUCUACCCUCGACUCUACAUUCUUACCACUAAACCGAAUGCCACAAUUGCUGACAUGGGAAUUUGGGAGCAAGGAGAAUGGAAGUGGGAGUUAGCUUGGAGGAGACAAUUGUUCCUCUUUGAAACUGAGCAGGUCGUCUACCUUCUCUCAUCUCUAGAAAGCUUUCGAAUAAAGGCAACAACUUUAGAUAAAAAAGUCUGGUCCUCUUCAACAGAUGGAGGGUAUACAGUUAAAACUUGUUCUCUACUUAUUGACAAGAUUGUGAAUCCAGGGCUUAGAACUUUCAAGGCUUCGAUAUGGCAAAAAGGGGUCCCUCCUAAGGUUCAAUCUUUUCUUUGGCUAGCUGUUCAGAAUAGACUAUGCACUAAGGAUUUCUUACUUGACCGUAAUAUAAUCCCAGUUGAUCAAGCCUUUUGUAUCUUUUGUGAAAAUGAGAUUGAGACUUCAAAUCAUCUUCUCCUCCAUUGUAGACCAGUGUGGAAAUUAUGGAUGAAAUUCUUGGAUUGGUGGGGUAUUAGUGGUUGCCUUCCCUGCUGUGUGGAUGAUCUUUUACAUCAAUGGCCCAACCUAGUGUUCGGAAAAUUCCAGCGUAAGGCUUGGUCUAUGCUUUCUUGUUGUGUUAGCUGGAGUAUAUGGCUUAUGAGGAACAAGGUAAUCUUCAAUGAUGGAACUGCGACCUUCGAAGAUAUUUUCUCCUUAAUUCUUUAUCGCCUCUCAAAUUGGCUCAAGUUUGUAGAUAAGUUCUUCAUGGCUACUGGCACUACUUUAAUUAUGGGUCCUGAAGGUAUUAUAGAUUGGUCUAACACCAAAUAAAGGCUUUUAGCAUGGCGUAUCAACUUCUUCAUUCCUAAUGUCCUUUUUCAGUUAUGUAUCUGUUGACUUUCUUUUCCUUUCUUUUUGUGUUUGUUUUUUGUUAUUGUGAUUUUUUUUUUUCAUGUAUCUUGUUUUUGGCUACCUUCUGGUUAGCCCUUUCAAUAUAUCGACUUAUUCCAAAAAAUAUUAAUAAACAAAUAUUAUAUUAUAUAGAUAUAUAUUAAAAAUCAAUUCGAAACAAAUAUAUUAAUUUAUUUAAAAUAAAAUUAAUUUAAAAAUACUUUUAAAAUGAAAAAACUUAUAUUAUAAUUAUUCUCUUUAAAUUUUCAUAAUAAAAAACAUAUUAAUUCAUCAAAACUCAUUUUACACCCCAUUACCAUGUAGCAUGCUGUAAAUAAUACAUGAAUAUGGAUCAUCAUUGAUAGUUUAAAUUUAUCAUGAUAGAUCAUUUUUAAAAAUAAAAUAAAUAUUUUUUUCUUUUUUUUUAAACCAAUCUUUAAUUUUGCAACUAUCAAUAUUUACUUAUUGAAAACAAUUGAAAUAUUUGUUUGUUUAUCUCAUGAAAAAAUUUAAUUUCAUACCGUAACCAAUUCAAUUAGAAAUAAUAUAAUUUUUAAUUAAUUCAAAAUAAUUAAAUCAAUACCUAUUUUUCAAAACAAUUCAAAAAAAAUUAAAGGGGCAAUUGCCCCCUUAAUCUCCCUAUGUGGCUCCGCCACUAAACACAUUUUUCAAACUCAAUAUAAAUAAAAAAAAACUAAAAAACUAGUUUUUUUCAUUUUCAAGAUACAAAAAAUAAAUACUUGGAUUUGAUUUUUUAGGUUAUUUGUGGUGAUAAUAGUGACUGAAAAUUGAAAUAAGAUAAAGGUGAGAAGAGUAAUAAAAAAAAUUGAAUUUAGUAUUUUAAACAUAUAAAUUCAAUUUAUUUGUCAAUUACAAUAGAAUUAAUUCCAAACAACCUCUGAAUAAAACCAUUAUAGGCUGAAUAUGUACCAUUAUUAAAACCUCAACUACACAGUCACCAAAACACUCUUCUUUUCUCUUCCUGUCAUAUUGUCUGUCCUCGAUUUUAUGCCUUGCGUAGUCUUGAAAAAAUAAGGCCUUGAACAAAAAAAUAUUUGGAUAUGAUAUUUUGGGUUAUUUGUGGUGUUAGCAGUGAAGGUGAUAAGGAUAAUAUAAAAAACAAGAUAAAUUAAAUUUAGUGUUUCAAAACAUAUAAUUAAUUUCAAUUUACUUAUUAAUUAAAUUCAAAUUUAAUACAAUAAUUAAAUUCAAUUACAAUAAAAUUAAUUUCAAACAACAUGUAAAUAACAUUAUUAAGUGUGAUGUUGAAAAAAAAAACACAACAAAUGAAGUUAUACCGUAUAAAUCAUGAACUUGCGAAUUAGAAAUCGUAAAAGAACUUCUUGAAGAGUUCCAUGUGAUGGCUUUCUAGGCAAAUAAAUAUCAUUAAGCUCCCAUCAUUAUUUGGGCAUCGAGCAAUGUAUGCCAUGCCUUCGAAGCCAACAAUUGCGGGCCCCAUAAAAGAGGGUCGACCCCAACCAAAGUCAGCAUCAUAUAUCGGCAUUGUCAUCCAACUCACAACAUUGAUGUUUGGAUUAUUAAAUGUGUGUGGCCCUCGCUUCAAAGCUUCUAAAUCAGUCUGGACCUGCAAAUAAUCAAUGGCUGAUCUCAAAUAUUCAUUGUCCAUUCUUUUCAAUGCUCCACGGAUUUUCGCUAUGGUAUGCACCAAUGGCUUUGAUUGCAUUUCGCCUGAUAAACCUAAAAUUGCUGUUGUGAAAAGAACAUUGCCACAGUAUCCGGCUGGCAAUGGUGGGUUCAAUCUUGAUCGCCCAUCUGUUGGAAUGUGUAGUUUUGUUGCUUGGUCGUUGGAGAUUCCACGUGCCUUGCAGGUGCAUUGCCAAAUAUGUGCUGCUAGGGUUUCAAAGGUGCUAUAGUUGAUAGUGCCAUCACCAACGUCUUUUCUAGACUUGUUUCUUAGGGUUCGGAGUUGAUCACAUGUGAUGGUUAGGAUUUUUGCACAAGUGGGUUUCGGAUUU